Nematolebias whitei (Rio pearlfish) is the source of this 89-nucleotide long non-coding RNA. RefSeq lists it as uncharacterized. The record is from RefSeq and is a predicted model, not a curated record. Lineage: Eukaryota; Metazoa; Chordata; Actinopteri; Cyprinodontiformes; Rivulidae. The transcript is spliced from 3 exons.
CCACACGUCAAUCUGGUGCCAGAGGAAAACAUGGACAAUUAUCAGGAGCUGGAGAGGCCGAAGGACACUGAUCCUUACCAGGCGCUUGA